This 229-nucleotide long non-coding RNA is filed under the name Nicotiana benthamiana. RNAcentral describes it as "long non-coding RNA (NBEN_LNC014924)". The record is from RNAcentral. Lineage: Eukaryota; Viridiplantae; Streptophyta; Magnoliopsida; Solanales; Solanaceae.
UAAUUUCUUCUCGUUCUCCCAAAAGGUAUGGUGGUCACAGUGCUUCCGGCGAUUUUUUUGGCCAGUUGAGACUACGAAAUUACUGAGAACUUUCAGGGGUGAGAAGUAAUAUGUUAUGAAGGAGGUGUGUUAGUUUUUAUUUUGAUGAAUGUCAUCGAAAUGUCAUUUUUUCCGAUGAAAAUCUUGUCGGAAUGGUUUUGAUAUUUUUUGAGAAGAUCUGAUGGUUGUU